GCCUAGAUAGCCCAACAGGUAGAGGCACCGGAUUUAGGUUCCGGACAGUGAGAGUUCGAAUCCCUCUCUAGGCA
This 74-nucleotide transfer RNA is filed under the name Corynebacterium sp. HMSC08A12. RNAcentral describes it as "tRNA-Leu". It matches the Rfam family "tRNA". Rfam says of the family: Transfer RNA (tRNA) molecules are approximately 80 nucleotides in length. Their secondary structure includes four short double-helical elements and three loops (D, anti-codon, and T loops). Further hydrogen bonds mediate the characteristic L-shaped molecular structure. tRNAs have two regions of fundamental functional importance: the anti-codon, which is responsible for specific mRNA codon recognition, and the 3' end, to which the tRNAs corresponding amino acid is attached (by aminoacyl-tRNA synthetases). tRNAs cope with the degeneracy of the genetic code in two manners: having more than one tRNA (with a specific anti-codon) for a particular amino acid; and 'wobble' base-pairing, i.e. permitting non-standard base-pairing at the 3rd anti-codon position. Lineage: Bacteria; Bacillati; Actinomycetota; Actinomycetes; Mycobacteriales; Corynebacteriaceae. The record is from RNAcentral.